Molecule: ribosomal RNA, 420 nt
Filed under: uncultured bacterium
Lineage: Bacteria
Description: bacterial SSU rRNA
Rfam family: Bacterial small subunit ribosomal RNA
Source: RNAcentral
UGGGGAAUAUUGCGCAAUGGCCGCAAGGCUGACGCAGCGACGCCGCGUGGGGGAGGAAGGGUUUCGGCCUGUAAACCCCUGUUGCUCGGGACGAACGACGUGGUUUGCCACGUGUGACGGUACCGAGUGAGGAAGCACCGGCUAACUCCGUGCCAGCAGCCGCGGUAAUACGGGGGGUGCGAGCGUUGUCCGGAAUCACUGGGCGUAAAGGGCGCGUAGGCGGUUUGGUAAGCGCGUGGUGAAAGCCCGGGGCUCAACCCCGGGUCGGCCAAGCGGACUGCGAGACUGGAGCGUGGCAGAGGCAGGCGGAAUUCCGGGUGUAGCGGUGGAAUGCGUAGAGAUCCGGAAGAACACCGGUGGCGAAGGCGGCCUGCUGGGCCACGGCUGACGCUGAGGCGCGACAGCGUGGGGAGCAAACAG